GUAAAAUCACAAAAAUACUGAUCUCCGAGGAAAAUUCAAAAAGGAAGGAAAGUCCCGAAUCAAUUAUCGAAAUCAAAAGCUUAAACACAUCAAAUGAAUGGAUAACAACUGUCAUAUUCCUAACUUUGUACAGGCAUUUCCUUAUGUAGAUUAAAUCUAGAAUUAUAGCUAGCUAAACCUCUCACUUGUAUGACAGUUACAUAACAUUCCGUUAUAUUGAAAACGAUGUGUGAACAAAACAAACAGACAUUAUAGGUAUAAACAUUUUGAUUUUUUCUCAACGUUCGGUAUUUUUGUGAAUAUACUUUUUACAACAUUUACGUACGUGUCUAUAUAUCAAUACCAAAUAUGGAAUUUUCGAAAUAAACAAUAUGGCAAACAUAGCAAAAUACUCAACAAAUUUCCCAUACAAAGAGUGAUAACUCAAUGUAUAAAUUGUUGACGUAAAUAAAAAAAAACCACCGUAUUUUAUAUAUUUGAUAUCAUUCAUGAAUGCAAAACAAAAACAACUGGUUGAUUUUAGGAAACUCCUUUUGUGCAAUGAAAUCAGUAAACAUCAAUUAUGUAAGAUUUGUUAAACAACAUCUGCAGACAAUCUUUGCUGCUCAUAAUGCAAGUUAAUAAGAAACAUCAGGCUUUAUAUAUCGGUAUCCCAAAAUUAGAUCGCAUAAAUCAUAAAAUUAAACAUAUAUUAUUUUCAUUAGGAAUGAUUUUUAUGUGGCCAUUUGUUAAUGGAUAACAAAUUGCUGUUGUCGUCUUUUCUUUUUAAAAACAAUACGAUCAAAAGUAAGAAAGUACAGAGAAAGGUAAAGAGAAUCUUAAGCAAAGAAGGGGAAAAAACACCAUGACCAGAUGACAAACAGAAGCGUACAUAUCACUACACAAACUGAACACUGAGUAAACAAACCUUCCUAAAACUUGGAAAAAGUAAAGGUUUAAAAAAGUGACCAGUACUUGCCCUUCUACUGGAACCUUUCGUAUUGGUUAUUGCAAAAUUCAAAAUCCAAAAAUUGGAAAAUACUUUUGGAUCUGUGAUACAACUGACCGGAAAAGGUUAACGUACGUCAUUCUAGCGUCAACUUUAACAUAACAAUCUACUAAUCACACCAAACAUAAAGCAUCUUGAUAAUUUCUUCUUUCUUAUUUUAGAAGAUUCUCGUACAAAAUUCAAAUCAAUGUGUCUAAUAUUAUUGUGGAACGAAGUAUAAGAAGUCGAACUUUUUGUUAUUGCUGCAAAAUGCUAACAGCCAUUAAUUUUGUAAAGAAUUCCCAUCUGAAUUGAAUUGAGAACAGAAAUGGGGACUCGACAAAGAACAGAAAACAGCCCAAGUCAACCAAUGGUACUUAAAUUCCGCGAAGCAAUACCGCACCCAGAAACGAACUUCAGCUUGUCCAUAAACAAAAAUAUGCACUAGUUCAAUGAAAAUGGGCGUCAAACUAAAUUCCAAAACAUAUCAACUAAUAUUUUUUUCAAACCUACAAAACUAACAAAGGUCAGAAGCUCCUGAUAUGGGACAGGCGCAAAAUUGAAUGACAUCAAUAGCAG
Molecule: long non-coding RNA, 1546 nt
Filed under: Mytilus galloprovincialis (Mediterranean mussel)
Lineage: Eukaryota; Metazoa; Mollusca; Bivalvia; Mytilida; Mytilidae
Source: RNAcentral